Molecule: long non-coding RNA, 1141 nt
Organism: Calypte anna (Anna's hummingbird)
Lineage: Eukaryota; Metazoa; Chordata; Aves; Apodiformes; Trochilidae
Exons: 2
Source: RefSeq, a predicted model, not a curated record
CACUCCUCCCCCCGAAUAGGGCGGCCUGGAGUCAAACUGUGGGAGGAAGGGGGGGCGGAGGGCAGGGUGUUCAGCGAUCCUUUGCAGCCGGAGGAGGAAGCGUCCACCCCAACAUUGGUCGUGCCCGUUCCCUCUCCUUGCCCCCGGGAAAAACCCGGGGUGCCAUCUCUCCCACUCCUCAGGGGCCGAGAUCGAGAGAGGGUGUGUGGGGGUGUUGCCCCCCCUUUUCUUGUCCCUCCUUAGCGCAAGGUCAGCACAACCCCGUGUUUUCGCGGAGGUUUCGGAAGGAGGGCGAACCCAGGCACGGCCGGGAUAAACAACAGGAUCGCGUUGCACCGGGGAGGAGGAGCGGGGGAAAACCCGAGCAAGAGCUGGGGCAUAUCACUCUCGAUUAUCACGGAGAAGAAACAAUACCGUGGCACCAAGGGUGAAGAGAGCGAGCUGCAUUCCUUACUUUCACCUGCACUGGAGACAGGAAGAGAUACCCAAAGGAAACUUGCUGUAUUUCUUCAAGGAUUCUUAUUUCCUCCUGUGCCAGGCUGAGGGAGGUUGAAACACACACUAAUAAAGGACAUAUUUCUUAUAUAUGGCAGUUUUCUUUAUUGAUUGCUUGAUGUGAAACAAUAUCAAUCUGGAUUUUUUUUUUUCCCACACAUUACAAAAAAAAUAUUAAAUUGGCUCAGUCUGCAAUCCUUUAAGCACAGCCAUAUUAAUUAUCAGGAAAAAAAAAACAUAAAAAAAAAGAAAACCAACAAAAAAAAUCCUAAAAAGUCUACCAAGUAGAGCAUUUACAAAUGCAGAAAAACAUGCCACUUUGGCUUUAUGGGGAAAAAUAUUGUCUUCUAGAUUAAAAAAAAAAUCUUUUAAACAUAAAUAAGUUAGUAUAAUUUCUCAGUGUCUUUACAGAGUUAUGUACACAGGUACACUUCAAACUUUUUUUUUUUUAUUUUUACAUACAGGUACACAGGCAAUGUAGAAAUACUGUUUAAAGAUGUAGUAUCCCUUUUCCCUCACACACAAACAUUUUGGGAAGUGGGUCAAAUCAGAAAACAACAAUAAUCGAGAUUCAGAGCAAAAGCCCUGCAGAUUAGUUUAAAAAAAAUUUUUUUUAAAAAUCAGAAACCAAAACUCAAAACCGAAA